GUCGGCGUGGCGGAAUUGGUAGACGCGCAUGGUUGAGGGCCAUGUGGACUUCGGUCCUUGGGAGUUCAAGUCUCCCCGCCGACA
RNAcentral lists this transfer RNA (84 nucleotides) under Actinomycetota bacterium. Its description in RNAcentral is "Actinobacteria bacterium tRNA-Leu". It matches the Rfam family "tRNA". Rfam says of the family: Transfer RNA (tRNA) molecules are approximately 80 nucleotides in length. Their secondary structure includes four short double-helical elements and three loops (D, anti-codon, and T loops). Lineage: Bacteria; Bacillati; Actinomycetota. The record is from RNAcentral.